Molecule: ribosomal RNA, 229 nt
Filed under: uncultured bacterium
Lineage: Bacteria
Description: partial 16S ribosomal RNA
Rfam family: Bacterial small subunit ribosomal RNA
Source: RNAcentral
UAGUGGCGCACGGGUGCGUAACGCGUGGGAAUCUGCCCUUAGGUACGGAAUAACUCAGGGAAACUUGUGCUAAUACCGUAUGAUGUCGAGAGACCAAAGAUUUAUCGCCUAGGGAUGAGCCCGCGUAGGAUUAGCUAGUUGGUGGGGUAAAGGCCUACCAAGGCUACGAUCCUUAGCUGGUCUGAGAGGAUGAUCAGCCACACUGGGACUGAGACACGGCCCAGACUCC